GAUGAACGCUAGCGACAGGCCUAACACAUGCAAGUCGAGGGGCAUCGGGACGUAGCAAUACGUUGCCGGCGACCGGCGGAUGGGUGAGUAACGCGUAUGCAACCUACCCGUAGCAGGGGGAUAGCCCGUUGAAAGACGGAUUAAUACCCCGUAACACAGGGGCUCCGCAUGGAGAUUAUUGUUAAAGGGUCAUUUCUUUUAGAGGUGGUCCGGCUACGGAUGGGCAUGCGUUCCAUUAGGUAGUUGGUGUAGGUAACGGCUCACCAAGCCGACGAUGGAUAGGGGAACUGAGAGGUUGGUCCCCCACACUGGUACUGAGACACGGACCAGACUCCUACGGGAGGCAGCAGUGAGGAAUCUUGGUCAAUGGACGCAAGUCUGAACCAGCCAUGUCGCGUGAAGGAGGACGGCCCUAAGGGUUGUAAACUUCUUUUGCAGUGGAAUAAAGUUUGCCACGAGUUGGCGAUUUGCAAGUACGCUGCGAAUAAGGAUCGGCUAACUCCGUG
This 506-nucleotide ribosomal RNA is filed under the name uncultured bacterium. RNAcentral describes it as "bacterial SSU rRNA". It matches the Rfam family "Bacterial small subunit ribosomal RNA", at positions 28 to 507 of the family's 1533-position model. The record is from RNAcentral.